RNAcentral lists this long non-coding RNA (711 nucleotides) under Vulpes vulpes (red fox). Its description in RNAcentral is "lncRNA (ENSVVUG00000005950.1)". The record is from RNAcentral. Lineage: Eukaryota; Metazoa; Chordata; Mammalia; Carnivora; Canidae.
GUCAGAUAGUAAAGUGACUGAUCUACCCUGGCACCCUACCUGUUUUUAUUUUUAAACACUAAUAUAACUGUAUCUUUUUUUGUGAUAACAGGAAGCAACUAAUUCUAUCUCUAUGUUACCAAUGAAGAAGUUGAAACCCAGAAAUGUUAAAUGAUUUCAGCAGAGGCAGCAGAGGGAAGCAUCCAGGGUUUAAAACAAAGCUUGAAGCUUUGACAGAGCUGUCCUUUAAAGAAAGGACAAGUGAUUUUAAUUUUCAGGAUCCUAGCAACCAAAAGUGAUGUAGGAGCUGACUUCCAGAAGGCACUCACAGGUAAUGAUGAAAAAAUAGCCAUGUUAAAGUUACGUAUGUUGGCCCUGGAAGAGCACACAGUGAAACGCAACUAACUGAUUCCUGGUCAGAGGCUGCAUCAGAAAUGUGCUUAAGGCUCAUUCUUCUACACAGGAAACUCUUGUUAGGGCCACUAGUGGAUUUUAUGAUUGGUUUUAGUGUUCCCCUUUUCUGAUUCCACUAAAGAAAAAAUUAAAAUGCUUUUCAUAUUCUUGACACCCACUAGAAAAAUUCUCUUCUUCUCUAAUAAUAAUGGGAAGUAGAUAAUAAUUAGAACCAGAGAGAUUUUAUUCCUUUCCGGUGAUUUGACUUAGCAUAAAUCCCUUAUAGUAAAACCAUUUAUCUAUGGUUUGUUGAGACAUAAUUAGACUUUUUAAAAAAAG